ACAGGUCACCAGACGGCCGCGGUCCUGUGCCGCUCUAGGGCAGGGCUGAGGAACGUCCGGACUCCGCAGAGCAGGAUGGUGGGUAACGCCCACCCGGGGCAACCCGCGGGCAAGUGCAACAGAAAGCAGACCGCCUGCCGCCUCCGAUCCUCGGAUCGGGGCGGUCGGUAAGGGUGAAACGGUGGUGUAAGAGACCACCAGAGUGCCGGGUGACCGGUGCUGCUGGGUAAACCCCAUCCGGAGCAAGAUCAGACAGACGACGUUCGAGGCUGCUCGCCGAGUCGUCGGGUGGAUCGCUCGAGGCCGGUGGCGACAUCGGUCCCAGAUAGAUGGCCGUCAGUCGAGGAGGGUGACCGACUCGACCACAGAAUCCGGCGUAUCGGUGGCCUGUCCUC
RNAcentral lists this RNase P RNA (395 nucleotides) under Brevibacterium sanguinis. RNAcentral describes it as "Bacterial RNase P class A". It matches the Rfam family "Bacterial RNase P class A". Rfam says of the family: Ribonuclease P (RNase P) is a ubiquitous endoribonuclease, found in archaea, bacteria and eukarya as well as chloroplasts and mitochondria. Its best characterised activity is the generation of mature 5'-ends of tRNAs by cleaving the 5'-leader elements of precursor-tRNAs. Lineage: Bacteria; Bacillati; Actinomycetota; Actinomycetes; Micrococcales; Brevibacteriaceae. The record is from RNAcentral.